This 2260-nucleotide unclassified non-coding RNA is filed under the name Hevea brasiliensis (rubber tree). The record is from RNAcentral. Lineage: Eukaryota; Viridiplantae; Streptophyta; Magnoliopsida; Malpighiales; Euphorbiaceae.
GCAAACCAUAUGGGAAAUUUUUAUAGCUUUCUGAUAAGUUUUACUUCCUUAGUCCACUUACACAGUUACAUGCCAUCAAACUAAUCAAAUGGACCUAAACCAAAAAUCCAUGCCCUAGCCCCUAGGUCAAGUAAUUUCAACAUGGUUUGUCAACCAGUAUCCAUGCAUGGAAGCAUAAAUGAAUAACCGAACUAUUAAGUUCUGUUUUGUACUUGAUACAAUUUCAUGUAAACCUAUUGAUUUAUAUUACUUUCACAAGUACCCAAAAAAAUGCCAUACCCCACAAUAUAACCAGACUAUUCACAACAAUAUGGAACUUUAAUCAUCAAAACCUAAAGGGACGACAACAAUGUUCUCACCCUGCAACUGUGACUUGAGGGGGCAUGGUCUCAUGGUUGGGUGGACUCAACAUCAAUCCAUCAUCCUGGGCAGAAUUCUUUUCAGGAAUGUUAUUUCCAUUCUCACAUAUCAGGAGGUUCAUAGAAUUCUUAUGGUUUUCUUCAGCUUUUUGAACAGAUCCUUCAGGGUUUUGGUUCUCUGCUUCUGCAGGUUUCGCUUUGGACUUGACAGUCUUCCCUUCCGCUCCAGUGGUUGUGGUUCGCUGGGACUGAAGCUUUGGCUGGGACUUCCUGAUUGGUGUUUUUAAGGCUACAGUUUCUUUGCUGCCAUUUCUCUGAAUUCCCUUGGUUGCAUUGCUUGAUUCUGGUUUCAAAGCACGUGGACUAUCUGAGGAUUGUGGGCCAAGGGAAGAUCCACCACCUUCUACAGAGCCAUUCACUAAAGCAGUUAAGCUCUUGUGCCUUCCGAGCUUUGGUGAUAUCGGACGGGUGGUUGGUAUCUUUUUCAGUUCAACUUUUGGUGGAGGCUCCUUAUAGAAGCUUGGCAUGGGUGUAGCCUUAAAUGUCAGGCUUUUUCUUAGUUGCCUGAUCUCUGCUUCCUGGUUCUCCUUUGACUUUUCCUGCAAGUUACUUUUUUCCAUUUCCUUGGCAUGGAUCUUCUCUUCCAGCUUAGAAAAAAACUCCCUCCGCUUUUCUGCACGUUCAUCCAACCUGAAGGAAAACCCAGAACCGCUAGCUCUCCGUGCACGAGGAGUGGCAGAAGUAGUUGAAUGGAUGUCAUCAUCUUCUUUGCUUGGCAUUGUGGUAGGUACAUUUUGCAAAUUUUCAUCAGCUAACUCAGAUACUUCAGAGGGAGGGCAAUUGGUGGAUUCAUUCAAAGAACUUGAUUUCACAGGCUGUGCAGACUGUUGUUUGCUUGGCACAGUUGCUAAAGAAGUCCUCCUGGUAAUAACUUUGCCACCAUUGACAUUUGAUUCCUUUGAAUUCGCUCCAGUGCGUGCAUGCCUAAUCGGUUGAGUUAAACGGGAAACUGAAGUGAUUGAUCCAUUUGAAGUGACCUGACCUUUUCUACCAUCAUCUUGGGCAUAUUUGGCUGUGGUUUUUGUUGGGCGUUCAUCAAUGCUUUUCCUCAUAUUGUCAGGAUGAACUCCUCGUGCUGGAAAUGAAAGACUUUGAGAAAGUGAUGGCCUCUGACUACGAGAAACAGAACCAGGGCCUUUCAAAUUAGGUUUAUCCUUGGACAGUUUGUUGCUCUUUGAACCCAGGGUAGCUGAUUCCUUGAAGGAUUUUGAGAGUUUACUUUCAGAAAGAUUUGCUUUGGCAUUUAUUGCCACACCAGAGGAAUGAUGAUCAUCAGGAUUUGCAACAUGCUUGGAAGUUUCAUUGGCAUUCUUAGGCUCUUGAUCAUUAGCAGCAUUUUUUUCUUCUUUCCUUAGUACCACAGCAGAUGCUUCAGGAUGAGUUUCCUCAAUGACAUUGUCAUCCUUCAAUUCAACGGCAUUCUCAGACUCCAUUCUUUUACAAUAUUUCACAAUAAACUCAAUUUCAAAUUCCAAAUUUGGAUAAAUUUCCCACACUUUCUCAGCAACCAACCAGAAUCAAAUGAUGAACACAAGAAUUCAAGAUUCCUGAACCCAACAUUUUUUUCCCAAGAUUUGUGAACCUAGCAUUACACAAAACGAGAUAAAUACAAUGCAGGGCUUAGGAUGAGAAAAUUAGAGCAUACCUUGGAGAGUAGCAGAGGAGUGAAGUUUUAUCUGUUGAAAGAGACCACAGAGCAAAAGGGAUAACACAGAAUUAUAUGUAUAUAAAAGAGUAACAAAGAAGUGACAAAAUCUGACUGUAAAGAUAUAAAGAUUGGUAUAUACGAGCAAAGUUGUGACUCUCUCUCUCUGGUUUGAGAAAUACAAGAGACAGAAAGA